This 226-nucleotide unclassified non-coding RNA is filed under the name uncultured Solirubrobacterales bacterium. RNAcentral's name for it is "contains 16S-23S intergenic spacer region". Lineage: Bacteria; Bacillati; Actinomycetota; Thermoleophilia; Solirubrobacterales. The record is from RNAcentral.
UCCCCGUUAUCCUGGGCUGUCACCUACAUGUCAAGCCCAGGUAAGGUUCUUCGCGUUGCGUCGAAUUAAACCACAUGCUCCGCUGCUUGUGCGGGCCCCCGUCAAUUCCUUUGAGUUUUAGCCUUGCGGCCGUACUCCCCAGGCGGGGCACUUAAUGCGUUAGCGCCGGCACGGGAGGAGUCGACACCUCCCACACCUAGUGCCCAUCGUUUACGGCGUGGACUAC